This 253-nucleotide ribosomal RNA is filed under the name uncultured bacterium. RNAcentral describes it as "partial 16S ribosomal RNA". It matches the Rfam family "Bacterial small subunit ribosomal RNA", at positions 524 to 776 of the family's 1533-position model. The record is from RNAcentral.
UACGAAGGGGACUAGCGUUGUUCGGAUUUACUGGGCGUAAAGCGCGCGUAGGCGGAUCGCUAAGUCAGGGGUGAAAUCCCAGGGCUCAACCCUGGAACUGCCUUUGAUACUGACGAUCUGGAGAUCGGGAGAGGUUGGUGGAAUUCCGAGUGUAGAGGUGAAAUUCGUAGAUAUUCGGAGGAACACCCGUGGCGAAGGCGGUUCUCUGGGACGGUACUGACGCUGAGACGCGAAAGCGUGGGGAGCGAACAGG